Molecule: ribosomal RNA, 734 nt
Filed under: Streptomyces cheonanensis
Lineage: Bacteria; Bacillati; Actinomycetota; Actinomycetes; Kitasatosporales; Streptomycetaceae
Description: bacterial SSU rRNA
Rfam family: Bacterial small subunit ribosomal RNA
Source: RNAcentral
CUCAGGACGAACGCUGGCGGCGUGCUUAACACAUGCAAGUCUAACGAUGAACCGGUCUCGGCCGGGGAUUAGUGGCGAACGGGUGAGUAACACGUGGGCAAUCUGCCCUGCACUCUGGGAUAAGCCCGGGAAACUGGGUCUAAUACCGGAUACGACACUCCGAGGCAUCUUGGGGUGUGGAAAGUUCCGGCGGUGCAGGAUGAGCCCGCGGCCUAUCAGCUUGUUGGUGGGGUAAUGGCCUACCAAGGCGACGACGGGUAGCCGGCCUGAGAGGGUGGCCGGCCACACUGGGAUUGAGACACGGCCCAGACUCCUACGGGAGGCAGCAGUGGGGAAUAUUGCACAAUGGGCGAAAGCCUGAUGCAGCGACGCCGCGUGAGGGAAGACGGCCUUCGGGUUGUAAACCUCUUUCAGCAGGGAAGAAGCGAAAGUGACGGUACCUGCAGAAGAAGCACCGGCUAACUACGUGCCAGCAGCCGCGGUAAUACGUAGGGUGCGAGCGUUGUCCGGAAUUAUUGGGCGUAAAGAGCUCGUAGGCGGUUUGUCGCGUCGAUUGUGAAAGCCCGGGGCUUAACCCUGGGUCUGCAGUCGAUACGGGCAGGCUAGAGUUCGGCAGGGGAGACUGGAAUUCCUGGUGUAGCGGUGAAAUGCGCAGAUAUCAGGAGGAACACCGGUGGCGAAGGCGGGUCUCUGGGCCGAUACUGACGCUGAGGAGCGAAAGCGUGGGGAGCGAA